UUCAGGUUUGCCAGCGACACAUGUACGGCUGGGACUGUUAGGAGAAAAUAUUCAUUGGUGAUAGUUUGAAAAACCAACUUCUCUUUCGAUAGUUGGAAAUUAAUGUAUGCAUGGUUGUUUGUGAGGAUAUAUCCACUACAACACAACGAGUGCACUGUCAUUAUCUUUUAGCCACUUUCUAUACAGGACACCAUACUGAAUUUUGGAUUGCAAUUUGUGCUGCUAUGGUCUUUGUUUUCAGUAUGGUGUAGAAGGACAGACGAGCUUGUUGAUGGCUUGGUUUUCAUGUUCAUUUGGCUAGGUUUUGAAAGCCAUUGGAGUAGACCCCAUCAAGGGGUUUAUAGAUUUUCAGGUGUUGGCUUGAGUUGCAGUCUACUUUGUAAUUACCGUGACUCUAUUCGUCAUUUUUAAACUGAGGAAUUUGGGUUCUUGAUGGUUUAGCUAGAGCUUCAUUCUGGAUCUCGUCUUUAUUAUGUUUAUGCAGGUGGUGGAAAAUGCAAAAAUCUAGGCAGAAACGGUGGCAGCCAUGAUACGAUUGGAUAUGAGUGAAUAUAUGGAGCGGCAAAGAAAGUAGUUGGCAAGAUUAAAGUGGAAGAUGCUUUCAGACAACCGAACAAGUUGUAGUUGUUCAUCAACCAAGCAAAAGUCAUACCCAAAUCUUGCGUUGUGACUUUGUAUUAUUUGUGGAACUUAAUGUUGUGUAACAGUUUGAUUAAGUUUGUUUUGAAAACUUUAACUAGA
Magnolia sinica is the source of this 741-nucleotide long non-coding RNA. RefSeq lists it as uncharacterized. The record is from RefSeq and is a predicted model, not a curated record. The transcript is spliced from 3 exons. NCBI's taxonomy places the organism in Eukaryota, Viridiplantae, Streptophyta, Magnoliopsida, Magnoliales, Magnoliaceae.